GCAGUGGUAGUUCAGUGGUAGAAUCCUCCCCUUCCACGAGAGCGAACCAGGUUCCAUUCCCGGCCAGUGCG
This 71-nucleotide transfer RNA is filed under the name Loxodonta africana (African savanna elephant). It matches the Rfam family "tRNA". Rfam says of the family: Transfer RNA (tRNA) molecules are approximately 80 nucleotides in length. Their secondary structure includes four short double-helical elements and three loops (D, anti-codon, and T loops). Further hydrogen bonds mediate the characteristic L-shaped molecular structure. tRNAs have two regions of fundamental functional importance: the anti-codon, which is responsible for specific mRNA codon recognition, and the 3' end, to which the tRNAs corresponding amino acid is attached (by aminoacyl-tRNA synthetases). tRNAs cope with the degeneracy of the genetic code in two manners: having more than one tRNA (with a specific anti-codon) for a particular amino acid; and 'wobble' base-pairing, i.e. permitting non-standard base-pairing at the 3rd anti-codon position. The record is from Rfam by way of RNAcentral. Lineage: Eukaryota; Metazoa; Chordata; Mammalia; Proboscidea; Elephantidae.